Molecule: long non-coding RNA, 803 nt
Organism: Manis pentadactyla (Chinese pangolin)
Lineage: Eukaryota; Metazoa; Chordata; Mammalia; Pholidota; Manidae
Exons: 2
Source: RefSeq, a predicted model, not a curated record
GCGGGGCGCGAGGGCUUCCCGAAGGGCAGGGGUUGCGGCGGGGGCCCUGGCGGCCGUCGUGCGCCGUGCGGGCCAAUGGCCCGCGGUCGUCGCCGGGUCUAGGGCAGGUUGGGUGGGCCACAAGCUUGUGCAGUUAGGGGCUCCCUUUUUAAGAAAAAGGAUACAAAAUUAGAAUGAAGGGGAAUAUUAGGAUAAGAAAAGUAGACACAACUUGCAAAUGGUGCAAAGCUGGAUUGCUCUCAGACGGAUCCAGACCUCUCCUGUAUGAGCUGAAGCUCCUCAGGUGUCCAGGUGCGGGGCUGGUCUGUCUGCUGUGGCCUCAGGAUGGCUUCCUGUGAGCUUAUGUCGCUAUUGAUUGCAGUAUUGCGAGUGGAAUCAGAAGAAAUGGAAGCUGGUUUCUGAGUUCAUGGUUCACUCACCUUCACGAAUCGGCCCCGCCCUCCGAGAAGGCGCCUACUAUGUUUUCAUGCGAUUUGCGUGCGACCCGAGUAAACGUGCCCCUGCCGGGCGCCAUCCUCGCAGUCUCUGGGGAGCCCUUCAGGUGUUCACGGAUGCGAGUGACGGCUGUCACCAUGAGAACGUGUACAAGCAAAGCAAAACAGGCGAAGUUUGAUUUGGGGACAAACUAGUUAAUGUCAUGUAGCAUUUUCCUGUUAAAAAAUAAUUCUUUCAAAUAUCAUUGGUAUUUGUAUAUUGUCUGUGUACCAUGUCUAACUGGUUUAAUUCAUUUAUUAAUUAUAGUAAUUUCUUUAAAAAAAAAAAAAAGGAGGAAAUAAAUGUCUGUUGAAGGUAAAAAAAAAAAA